Molecule: transfer RNA, 57 nt
Filed under: Danio rerio (zebrafish)
Lineage: Eukaryota; Metazoa; Chordata; Actinopteri; Cypriniformes; Danionidae
Rfam family: tRNA
About the family: Transfer RNA (tRNA) molecules are approximately 80 nucleotides in length.
Source: Rfam by way of RNAcentral
GGCCUAAUGGUUAGAGAAUUGGACUUUGAAUCCAAAGGUUUCAGGUUCAAGUCCUGU